This 239-nucleotide ribosomal RNA is filed under the name uncultured bacterium. RNAcentral's name for it is "partial 16S ribosomal RNA". It matches the Rfam family "Bacterial small subunit ribosomal RNA", at positions 85 to 339 of the family's 1533-position model. The record is from RNAcentral.
AUGCUGACGAGCGGCGGACGGCUGAGUAACGCGUGGGAACGUGCCCCAAAGUGAGGGAUAAGCAUCGGAAACGGUGUCUAAUACCGCAUAUGGUCUUCGGAUUAAAGGAUUUAUCCGCUUUGGGAGCGGCCCGCGUUAGAUUAGGUAGUUGGUAGGGUAAUGGCCUACCAAGCCUACGAUCUAUAACUGGUCUGAGAGGAUGAUCAGUCAGACUGGAACUGAGACACGGUCCAGACUCC